UUCUGCUUGGCCAGGCCGAAAUCGGAGAUUUUUGCAUGCCCUCGAUGGUCCAACAGAAUAUUCAGGGGUUUAAUGUCUCUGUAAUAUAACGAUAAAAGGAAUUAGAUAAAAAAAAGACAAGGGCUGCUGAUUUGCAGCAAUGUUACAGAGAGGAAAAAUUGUAUACUGACCGGUGGAUAAUCCCCUUGUUAUGCAGGAACUGCAGGCCGCAGAUCAUCUCCGCCGAAUGGAACCUUUUAAACAGGGAAAUAAUGGUUACCUCCAUAAAGAUUAUCAUGUAAUAUGAAAUUUAAAUAUGAUGCUCCCCAGUGUCAAAAUGUACUUAUUGUAUUAUUCCAUCCUUUGUAUAGGUACAAUUUGUAUAAAUCUAUUUCUUAGUGAUAUUGUACCUGUACCAAUAUAAUACUUACCGUACUCUCUGUAUAUCUAGGCUGCCGUAUUGAUCCAGCUCAUCCUCAAGGCUUCCCCCACUCAGGAAUUCCAUGACAUAAAAGGCGUGCCGCUGGUUACACAGACAAUUGCAAAGUGUCAAGAGAAGGAAGAAAUGGCACAAGACUUACAACGCAAAAGAGAGCACGAGGAUUUCUUAUCUACUCUAAGGUAGAGCCUUGCCAGGGCACCUCACAGAGGAAGCAGCCUCCCACAUUUAUGUCAUCAGUGCACACAGUUGUAAAGCGAUCCUUCUGGGUACAGCAGCACACUAAAGCGUCUGUACGACUCCGACACUCGCACAUCUCUCCCUUCUGCUAGACAAGAAAAAAUCUGGACAAUGUUACCUGGAUUUUGCACCUUCAAGGGAAUUGCACGCACCCUGGGAAUGGCAAUCAAUGAUCGUCCAGACCUGAGACCUGGGGCAUGAAUUUCGGAUUGUUAAAAGAUUGUAAAAAUUUUGUAGUAACCACGAUAAUUUCUAAUGUGCGUAAAUUGUGCGGAAAUUUGUGUUGUGGACGUACGAAAACAUUGUGGUUGCGAUCCGAAAGUUACCAAAUUUUCGUAUACAAACAUUUAUAAACAGCGUGAAAACCUUUCUGACUUUGAAACUUCAAUGCAUGAUUUUGGAAGCCUUCCAUGGGACUCAAUGGCACUCUGCAGCUCCAACCUGGCCAAAAGAAAGUCACAAUACCGAAGCUUGAAUGAAUUCCAUAACGGUCGUAGUCGUUGCGAAUGAUAUGACUUUUUCAUGCAAAUUUUACCAAUAUUUUCGUUAUCAUUACGAAAAGUUCUAAACUAGAAAAAAUAUGAAUUUUUUGCCAUCAUGGUCAUCAUGCUUUAAUGAAUGGGCUCCUUAGUCUGCUAAACUCUGCGAUCACUUAUCAACAAGGGUUGUGAAUCAGGUAUUCCUGUCUGAUGUACUGAUGAUAUAAAAUCAAUAGCACAAAUGAGUUAAAGGGGUUAUUUAAGUUUCCCACGUAUAUCUAGAAACUGGUCUGUACAUUCAGUAGUGCUGUGCCUCUCAAAUGCUAUUAGCACUUAGUAGGAAUGCACCGAAUCCAGGAAUUUACAAAAGUUUUACUCUGUAGUAUUAUCCUGUGGCAACCAAUCAAAAUUUUGCUUUCAUUAGCCUUAAGGUGGCCACACACAUAG
This is a long non-coding RNA of Xenopus tropicalis (tropical clawed frog), 1584 nucleotides long. RefSeq lists it as uncharacterized. The record is from RefSeq and is a predicted model, not a curated record. Lineage: Eukaryota; Metazoa; Chordata; Amphibia; Anura; Pipidae. The transcript is spliced from 3 exons.